GGGAUCCUACGGGAGGCAGCAGUGGGGAAUAUUGCACAAUGGGGGAAACCCUGAUGCAGCAACGCCGCGUGAGUGAAGAAGUAUUUCGGUAUGUAAAGCUCUAUCAGCAGGGAAGAAGAAAGACGGUACCUGACUAAGAAGCCCCGGCUAACUACGUGCCAGCAGCCGCGGUAAUACGUAGGGGGCAAGCGUUAUCCGGAUUUACUGGGUGUAAAGGGAGCGUAGCCGGCUGUGCAAGUCUGAAGUGACAGCCCGUGGCUCAACCGCGGACCUGCUUUGGAAAC
This 284-nucleotide ribosomal RNA is filed under the name uncultured bacterium. RNAcentral's name for it is "partial 16S ribosomal RNA". It matches the Rfam family "Bacterial small subunit ribosomal RNA", at positions 333 to 633 of the family's 1533-position model. The record is from RNAcentral.